RNAcentral lists this ribosomal RNA (253 nucleotides) under uncultured bacterium. RNAcentral describes it as "partial 16S ribosomal RNA". It matches the Rfam family "Bacterial small subunit ribosomal RNA", at positions 524 to 776 of the family's 1533-position model. The record is from RNAcentral.
UACAGAGGUCCCAAGCGUUGUUCGGAUUCACUGGGCGUAAAGGGCGCGUAGGCGGGAUGGCAAGUCGGUCGUGAAAUCCUUCGGCUCAACCGAAGAACGUCGGCCGAUACUGCCGUUCUUGAGGGAUGCAGAGGAGAUUGGAAUUCCCGGUGUAGCGGUGAAAUGUGUAGAGAUCGGGAGGAACACCGGUGGCGAAGGCGGGUCUCUGGGCAUCUCCUGACGCUGAGGCGCGAAAGCGUGGGGAGCAAACGGG